CGCACGGCAGCACGGGGGCACCCUGGUGGCGAGUGGCGAACGGGUGAGAAACAUCGGAACGUGUCCUAGAGUGGGGGAUAGCCCGGCGAAAGCCGGAUUAAUACCGCAUACGCUCGAGAGAGGAAAGCGGGGGAUCUGACCUCGCGCUCAAGGGGCGGCCGAUGGCGGAUUAGCUAGUUGGUAGGGUAAAGGCCUACCAAGGCGACGAUCCGUAGCUGGUCUGAGAGGACGACCAGCCACACUGGGACUGAGACACGGCCCAGACUCCUACGGGAGGCAGCAGUGGGGAAUUUUGGACAAUGGGGGCAACCCUGAUCCAGCAAUGCCGCGUGUGUGAAGAAGGCCUUCGGGUUGUAAAGCACUUUUGUCCGGAAAGAAAUCCUCUGCCCUAAUACGGCGGGGGUAUGACGGUACCGGAAGAAUAAGCACCGGCUAACUACGUGCCAGCAGCCGCGAUAAUACGUAUGGUGCAAGCGUUGAUCGGAAUUACUG
RNAcentral lists this ribosomal RNA (492 nucleotides) under uncultured Burkholderia sp. RNAcentral describes it as "bacterial SSU rRNA". It matches the Rfam family "Bacterial small subunit ribosomal RNA", at positions 63 to 556 of the family's 1533-position model. The record is from RNAcentral. Lineage: Bacteria; Pseudomonadati; Pseudomonadota; Betaproteobacteria; Burkholderiales; Burkholderiaceae.